ACGUAGGGUGCGAGCGUUAAUCGGAAUUACUGGGAGUAAAGCGUGCGCAGGCGGUUAUGUAAGACAGAUGUGAAAUCCCCGGGCUCAACCUGGGAACUGCAUUAGUGACUGCAUAGCUGGAGUACGGCAGAGGGGGAUGGAAUUCCGCGUGUAGCAUUGAAAUGGGUAGAUAUGCGGAGGAACACCGAUGGCGGGGGGAAGCCACUGGGCUUGUACUGAAGAUCAUGCUCGUACGCGUGGGGAGCAAACAG
Molecule: ribosomal RNA, 251 nt
Filed under: uncultured prokaryote
Description: partial 16S rRNA
Rfam family: Bacterial small subunit ribosomal RNA
Source: RNAcentral